RNAcentral lists this ribosomal RNA (435 nucleotides) under uncultured bacterium. RNAcentral's name for it is "bacterial SSU rRNA". It matches the Rfam family "Bacterial small subunit ribosomal RNA", at positions 30 to 465 of the family's 1533-position model. The record is from RNAcentral.
AUUGAACGCUGGCGGCAGGCCUAACACAUGCAAGUCGAGCGGUAGAGAGGUGCUUGCAUCUCUUGAGAGCGGCGGACGGGUGAGUAAUGCCUAGGAAUCUGCCUAGUGGGGGGGGAUAACGUUCGGAAACGGACGCUAAUACCGCAUACGUCCUACGGGAGAAAGCGGGGGAUCUUCGGACCUCGCGCCAUUAGAUGAGCCUAGGUCGGAUUAGCUAGUUGGUGAGGUAAUGGCUCACCAAGGCGACGAUCCGUAACUGGUCUGAGAGGAUGAUCAGUCACACUGGAACUGAGACACGGUCCAGACUCCUACGGGAGGCAGCAGUGGGGAAUAUUGGACAAUGGGCGAAAGCCUGAUCCAGCCAUGCCGCGUGUGUGAAGAAGGUCUUCGGAUUGUAAAGCACUUUAAGUUGGGUAGGAAGGGUAGUAACCUAAU